GUGGGGAAUAUUGGGCAAUGGGGGAAACCCUGACCCAGCAACGCCGCGUGAAGGAAGAAGGCUUUCGGGUUGUAAACUUCUUUGACCAGGGACGAAACAAAUGACGGUACCUGGAAAACAAGCCACGGCUAACUACGUGCCAGCAGCCGCGGUAAUACGUAGGUGGCAAGCGUUGUCCGGAUUUACUGGGUGUAAAGGGCGCGUAGGCGGGAUGGCAAGUCAGAUGUGAAAUGCCGGGGCUUAACCUCGGCACUGCAUUUGAAACUGCUGUUCGUGAGUAUCGGAGAGGCAGGCGGAAUUCCUAGUGUAGCGGUGAAAUGCGUAGAUAUUAGGAGGAACACCAGUGGCGAAGGCGGCCUGCUGGACGACAACUGACGCUGAUGCGCGAAAGCGUGGGGAGCAAACAGGAUUAGAAACCCGAGUAGUCC
RNAcentral lists this ribosomal RNA (428 nucleotides) under uncultured bacterium. Its description in RNAcentral is "partial 16S ribosomal RNA". It matches the Rfam family "Bacterial small subunit ribosomal RNA", at positions 354 to 796 of the family's 1533-position model. The record is from RNAcentral.